AAAUUGAAGAGUUUGAUCAUGGCUCAGAUUGAACGCUGGCGGCAGGCCUAACACAUGCAAGUCGAACGGUAGCACAGAGAGCUUGCUCUCGGGUGACGAGUGGCGGACGGGUGAGUAAUGUCUGGGAAACUGCCUGAUGGAGGGGGAUAACUACUGGAAACGGUGGCUAAUACCGCAUAACGUCGCAAGACCAAAGAGGGGGACCUUCGGGCCUCUUGCCAUCAGAUGUGCCCAGAUGGGAUUAGCUUGUUGGUGAGGUAACGGCUCACCAAGGCGACGAUCCCUAGCUGGUCUGAGAGGAUGACCAGCCACACUGGAACUGAGACACGGUCCAGACUCCUACGGGAGGCAGCAGUGGGGAAUAUUGCACAAUGGGCGCAAGCCUGAUGCAGCCAUGCCGCGUGUAUGAAGAAGGCCUUCGGGUUGUAAAGUACUUUCAGCGGGGAGGAAGGUGUUGUGGUUAAUAACCGCAGCAAUUGACGUUACCCGCAGAAGAAGCACCGGCUAACUCCGUGCCAGCAGCC
This 524-nucleotide ribosomal RNA is filed under the name Salmonella enterica subsp. enterica serovar Infantis. RNAcentral's name for it is "partial 16S ribosomal RNA". It matches the Rfam family "Bacterial small subunit ribosomal RNA", at positions 1 to 516 of the family's 1533-position model. Lineage: Bacteria; Pseudomonadati; Pseudomonadota; Gammaproteobacteria; Enterobacterales; Enterobacteriaceae. The record is from RNAcentral. RNAcentral also lists the same sequence under 2 other names.